Pectinophora gossypiella (pink bollworm) is the source of this 359-nucleotide long non-coding RNA. RefSeq lists it as uncharacterized. The record is from RefSeq and is a predicted model, not a curated record. Lineage: Eukaryota; Metazoa; Arthropoda; Insecta; Lepidoptera; Gelechiidae. The transcript has 3 exons.
UAAACAUGGAGUGAACAAGACCUUCCAGUUUCCCUCAACCUCCACGGAACUAUGCACGCUGUGUUACUCCCAGCCCGUCCGAUCAUUCGUUGAGUGUUCAUCAGAAGUUCUGCAGAAGACCACCAACUUGGAUAAUAUUAUGGCCUGUCACCAAGGCGACAUUUUGACAUCGGGCUCCCACCACACUGACAGCACAGCAGCAGUCUGCAACUCUCAGCACACCGACAGCAUCGCAGCCACCGACCUAGAGGUUAGGGAUGACUUCAGCCAAUACGCCCUCGACUAUAUGGACGACCACUCCGAAUGUCACGGCAGCCAUUCUAGAAGCUUCUUCAUGUAUGACGUUCAGGGUUCUGAAC